GAUGAACGCUAGCGGCAGGCCUAAUACAUGCAAGUCGAGGGGUAUGGGUUGCUUGCAACCCAGAGACCGGCGCACGGGUGCGUAACGCGUAUGCAAUCUACCUUAAUCAGGGGGAUAGCCCGGAGAAAUCCGGAUUAACACCGCAUAACAUUGAGUUGUGGCAUCACAGUUCAAUCAAAUAUUUAUAGGAUUAAGAUGAGCAUGCGUGACAUUAGUUAGUUGGUGAGGUAACUGCUCACCAAGACCACGAUGUCUAGGGGAUCUGAGAGGAUGACCCCCCACACCUGUACUGAGACACGGACCAGACCGCUACGGGAGGCAGCAGUAAGGAAUACUGGUCGAUGGGCGCAAGCCUGAACCAGCCAUGCCGGGUGCAGGAAGACGGCCCUAUGGGUUGUAAACUGCUUUUGUACCGGAAUAAACCUACUCUUGCGAGAGAAGCUGAACGUACGGUAAGAAUAAGGAUCGGCUAACUCCGUG
This 480-nucleotide ribosomal RNA is filed under the name uncultured bacterium. RNAcentral's name for it is "partial 16S ribosomal RNA". It matches the Rfam family "Bacterial small subunit ribosomal RNA", at positions 28 to 507 of the family's 1533-position model. The record is from RNAcentral.